ACCUGCUGCCCCUUUCACAAAAGCUCUAUCCCAGAUGAUCCGUGGGGGUUACAGUGCUGUGAUAGUCACUUUUGGUUGCCGUUACCUUCCUGCUCUGAUUGGCCCAAUGAUAUGCUGGCUUCCAACCAAUCAGUGCUUUCUGACAGUCAAAUCUUGAGAGAAGUAUCACAUCUCUCAAGAAUUGGCUGUCAGAGGGCUCAAUAGCUUAGUGUGUGGGAAAGACUUUAUUAGCACUUUCUCCACUAUGAGAGGUCAGUCU
Molecule: non-coding RNA, 259 nt
Organism: Pelobates cultripes (western spadefoot toad)
Lineage: Eukaryota; Metazoa; Chordata; Amphibia; Anura; Pelobatidae
Source: the annotation of a GenBank genome assembly